This is a non-coding RNA of Mus musculus (house mouse), 82 nucleotides long. The record is from Rfam. NCBI's taxonomy places the organism in Eukaryota, Metazoa, Chordata, Mammalia, Rodentia, Muridae.
CCUUGGAGUAAAGUAGCAGCACAUAAUGGUUUGUGGAUGUUGAAAAGGUGCAGGCCAUACUGUGCUGCCUCAAAAUACAAGG